RNAcentral lists this ribosomal RNA (440 nucleotides) under uncultured bacterium. RNAcentral's name for it is "partial 16S ribosomal RNA". It matches the Rfam family "Bacterial small subunit ribosomal RNA", at positions 338 to 795 of the family's 1533-position model. The record is from RNAcentral.
CCUACGGGUGGCUGCAGUGGGGGAUAUUGCACAAUGGGGGAAACCCUGAUGCAGCGACGCCGCGUGAGUGAAGAAGCGUUUCGGCACGUAAAGCCCUAUCAGCAGGGAAGAAAAUGACGGUACCUGACCAAGAAGCCCCGGCUAACUACGUGCCAGCAGCCGCGGUAAUACGUAGGGGGCAAGCGUUAUCCGGAUUUACUGGGUGUAAAGGGGGCGCAGACGGCAGUGCAAGCCAGGAGUGAAAGGCCGGGGCCUAACCCCGGGACUGCUUUGGAAACUGUGCGGCUAGAGUACAGGAGAGGCAGGUGGAAUUCCUAGUGUAGCGGUGAAAUGCGUAGAUAUUAGGAGGAACACCGGUGGCGAAGGCGGCUUACUGGACUGUAACUGACGUUGAGGCUCGAAAGCGUGGGGAGCAAACAGGAUUAGAUACCCGGGUAGUC